This 252-nucleotide ribosomal RNA is filed under the name uncultured bacterium. RNAcentral describes it as "partial 16S ribosomal RNA". It matches the Rfam family "Bacterial small subunit ribosomal RNA", at positions 524 to 776 of the family's 1533-position model. The record is from RNAcentral.
UACGGGGGGGCAAGCGUUGUUCGGAAUUACUGGGCGUAAAGGGCUCGUAGGUGGCCAACUAAGUCAGACGUGAAAUCCCUCGGCUUAACCGGGGAACUGCGUCUGAUACUGGAUGGCUUGAGUUUGGGAGAGGGACGCGGAAUUCCAGGUGUAGCGGUGAAAUGCGUAGAUAUCUGGAGGAACACCGGUGGCGAAGGCGGCGUCCUGGACCAACACUGGCACUGAUGAGCGAAAGCCAGGGGAGCAAACGGG